Salvia miltiorrhiza (redroot sage) is the source of this 1157-nucleotide long non-coding RNA. RefSeq lists it as uncharacterized. The record is from RefSeq and is a predicted model, not a curated record. The transcript has 2 exons. NCBI's taxonomy places the organism in Eukaryota, Viridiplantae, Streptophyta, Magnoliopsida, Lamiales, Lamiaceae.
UCCCUUGUCUUGGCAGUGGCUUUCACCUAAUGUUUCGAUACGUUUUAAGGGUCCUUUUGAUUUGAAAGUUUUACUGAAUCAACUUUAUUAUGUUUAUAUCCUUCAUGUAAAAUUUCAUAGUUAUUUGAGUUCAUCUUAUAUGUUUACUUGUAGUCUUAAAAGGCUUGGUCAAAAUCGGACAGUUUUGCUAAGUUAUAGUUCAUGGUGUAUAAACCCCUGUUCCUUUGGUAUGUUUGAGUGCCAUUUUAUUUUUAAUGUAACUAGACAUUCUUAGGUUUCUGUAAAUGUAUAUUUUAUAUUUUUAUUUAAUGUAUAUAAUAAUAUACAAAUUUUCUAAAUGAGUUAGUUUGGAGAGUGUUAUUUUUGGACAGUUAUUUUGGUUAAUAUUUGACAAAUUAUUUGAAAGGUCAUAUAUAGUUAUAUUAAUCUGAAACUUUUUCCAUAUUAAGUAUAAUGUGUUGUGAUCUUGUGGUUUAAAUUUCAGCUUUAUUUCAUGAGGUUUAGUAUUUUUCAUGUAAUUUCUAAUUAUAUGAUCUGAAACUGUCUAUUUUUGGUAGAUUAUACUAAAUUGUACACAUCUCAUUACCUAAUAACUAUCUUAAUUCAUAGUUUCCUCUAAAAGAAAAUAGACAUCUAGAGGUUUUCAAAAUCAUAUGUCAUAUUCUCUGAUUCAUUUUCAAUGAAUUGAUAAUAUGUUUUGAAGUUGAGUGAAAUACGGAAGGUUGAUUAUGUACUUUGCAUUUAGUUGAGAAAUUAUGUUACUAUUGAGUAAAAAGCAUGCAUACUCAUGAUAUACUAAAACUUUAUAAUUUAUUAAGUCGGUGUUGCGAAUCUAGGAUUGAAGUAUAGACCUAUGAUGAAGAGUAGAUUAUAUAUGAUAAUGUUGUAGCUUUAGUUUAUCGACACUAAACCUAAGGUUUAUAUUGUAGGCCCAACUGAAGAAGAUACCUAAGUGGAACCACUCUAUAGAGAGACCAAAACCAUCUUGUAUAUCAGGUUGAGCGGCAGAUGUGGAGUGUGGUGCUGAGAUGAAGAUCUUUUUUUCUAUUGUAUAUAACUAGUUCCUUUAAUGGAACAACUCUUUUGUGUAUCUCCACCCGCUUCCUAUUUUGUAUAUCAUGACGACUCUUGUACAGUUUACUAAUGUAAAAUGAUCU